Molecule: long non-coding RNA, 2342 nt
Filed under: Triticum aestivum (bread wheat)
Lineage: Eukaryota; Viridiplantae; Streptophyta; Magnoliopsida; Poales; Poaceae
Description: long non-coding RNA (TAES_LNC014852)
Source: RNAcentral
UCCCUCCCCUAAGCUGGGCGAGUAUGCAUGGUGGAGUUACCAUCUCUCCGAUGGCUCCUGGUCGUUGUAUCGCUGGAGGCGCUGUUUGAGGUAGAUCAGAUCGGAGUUCGUCUGAUCUGAAUCUCCAGCAGCAGUCAGUUGUUCGCAUCCUUUCUCUCUCUCUCAGGCUCCAGGUCAGCUCGUGUGCUCCUCCCACCUCGUCGGCGGCAAGCCGGUUGCCAGCUCCUUCCCGACCGGUUAUGCGACGUCGUGCGAACCUACAAAUCUUCAACAUGGUGAUUCAUUUUCCUGGUAAAUACUCCGAUUUUUACUUUCAAGUAAAUUUAUUCAUCUCUAUAGUUCUAUUUUCCUUUACUUGUUCAUAUCAAACCUGCUCUUGUGUAAAUGAUACAUUUUAGUAACUUCGAUUUGAAGGUGUGUUUCUACUGUCCGUGGUGGUUUGGUACUCUAAUUUGCAACUUUUGUUUCAUUGAUAAGUACUUUGGAGAACCAAGCUGGGAGGUUGAGGAUGAUUGGAUAAUCAUAGGGCCUUGAAGUUUAGGACAAUCACUAAAAACCUUAGUAUCUGUAGUACGGAUACAUGGUCAAUAGCUUGACAAGCUGUAAAGAAAGUAAUUCAUUUUACUUGGCAAACAAAUUGAAAUGGCCCCAUUUGUCAGCAUAUCGCAAUUUUGAUUCAUGUUACUUCGGAUUUUUCCACUAAUAGAAUGAUCUUAUCUUUAAGAUGAAAACUAUGAAGCUCUCUUUAAAUCUUUGAUAUGUAGAUCAGGUAGGUACUACUUUGGUAUAUGCAUAUACCGAAGCCGCCUCAGAUUAUGAGGAAAACAGAAUCACUAGCAAUGUUGCAAAGGGAGGUACCAUGAAACAACCACGAAGGUUUUUACUUGUCCCAAGCACCUUUAGAUGUGCAACCACAGCAACAUGAUCGGUGGCAUUAAGCAGGCCAGCAAGCAAGAAUAGUAUUCCCAGUUCCAACAAUAGCCACGACAAAUACACUGGCUAUCAAAGUAUUAAAGCCGAUAAUAUACAUCCAUUUUAAUUGUAAUCUGAGGCACCUUGAGUGGAGUGCCAAGUAAAAAUGUCGGCAUUAGCACACCAGGACCAGCACUAUCAGGAAAGAACAUUGGUGUAAGGAAGUAAGGAAUACGCUGAUGUACCUAUGAUUCUGAUAAUCCCUUGUCUGAUGUUUUUUGCAAAAAAUUGUUUGCAGCAGUGCAAUUGAUCAAUAGUUCUCAAAAUCAAGAUUUCAGCGAUUCUACCUUAUUUGCAGAGAUUAAUUCCCCAAUGCUUCUCAUUGAUGAUUCCAGUACACCGAAAAAGAAACAAUCGUUCUCUCAAGUGGUACACACACUUUUGAAUAUUAUGCAAUAUAAUUUCUUACCUUUUUCCAUGUUAAAGUCCAUGAUUCAGUCAUGUGUGAUAGGACAGUAUACAACCUUAUCAUGUGUCAUGUCUAUUGCCGGCCAUAGGUGCCGAACUAGUACGAGAUAAAGUAAACAACUGAGAGAUUUCCAUGUCCAUGGUUAAAACUAUAAGGUCCCUGUUGUUUUCUAUCGCUGGUCACAACCUGUAAUACUCGCUAGAUAGGCAUUACAUGUGGUGAAUACCGAAUAGUAAUUGAAUUUAGGUUGGUUGAAAGUAUAUGUUUUGGUUGUGAUAGAAAAUGAGAUCUCAUAAGUGCAUAACAUGUAUUUUUUACUAAAUAAUUUUUACUGCUAACCAUUCUGGCCCAGCACAGAGAAAAGAUUGGUUAUGGAGAGAGAGUUGCAGUGGCCGUGGUUGGGUGGGUGUGAUCGUUGGUAUGACGAAACAAAGAUCACCUGCAGUGCACCAUAGUAAGUAGCAAAUCGUACCCAUGGCUGGCGCAACGGCGUGGAGCAGGCUGCAGGGUCGGGGUGGUGCUGUGACGUGUGCAUCACAACAGAAGAAGCUUGAUGAGCAAAAAGUACUAGAACUGGAGGCAAAGGCUGGAGGCAAGCUAGCAAAGUUGAUGCAGUUUUUUAAUGGCAACGCUUCUUGAGCUGUGAUUAGUUUAGUCAUUCAUACUUAGUCUUACCCAUGAUGUACGCAAAAUUAUCCUCUCAAGCAAUGUAAUAUGUAUGUCUGUCUAUUUUGUUGUGUCCUGUCUGGAGUCGUGCAGUUCAGAAUGUAUGUUUGCUUGAAGUGGAGUAUUAAGGACCAUAUACUCAAAUAUUUGUGGUGAGGUUCACUUACUCGUUAGUGACUAACAUGUUUGGACUUCUUCUAAAAAAACCUGUUUGGAUUUCUUGUAUGAUUUGUGAUGUAGCACAAGCUGCUAGCGAAAUCAAAUAUACUGCAGAUUUCAUGCAAUAGAUUUUAUA